ACGUAGGCAGCAAGCGUUGUUCGGAGUUACUGGGCGUAAAGGGUGUGUAGGCGGUUCUCUAAGUCUGGUGUGAAAUCUCCCGGCUCAACUGGGAGGGUGCGCCGGAAACUGGAGGGCUAGAGUGUGGGAUGGGAGAGUGGAAUUCCUGGUGUAGCGGUGAAAUGCGUAGAUAUCAGGAGGAAUACCGAUGGCGAAGGCAGGUCUCUGGGCUGACACUGACGCUCAUGCACGAAAGCGUGGGGAGCAAACAGGA
RNAcentral lists this ribosomal RNA (253 nucleotides) under uncultured prokaryote. Its description in RNAcentral is "partial 16S ribosomal RNA". It matches the Rfam family "Bacterial small subunit ribosomal RNA", at positions 525 to 777 of the family's 1533-position model. The record is from RNAcentral.